UUGAGCUCUUAAUUCUCUCCUGCCUCUCCCCCACCUAUGGAAAGGCAGAAAAUAUGAUGUCAGCCAUACAUAGGAAACCAUUGUUUUGUUUUUGCAAACACUUGCUCUGAUGUUCAAUGAGAGUGACAGACAGAAAGAGAGGGAGAGAGAGCGAGCUGGGGAGAGGGAAGAGGAAAGAGAUAAAGAAAGAAGACAGAGGGAGAGGAAGGGACUUUUAACUUUAGUUUUAAAAAAAUUGAGUUCUUAAUUCCCUCCCGCCUCUCCCCCACCUAUGGAAAGGCAGAAAAUAUGAUAUCAGCCAUACAUAGAAAACCAUUAUUUUGUUUUUGCAAAUACUUGGUCUGAUUGUUCAAUGAGAGAGACAGACAGAAAGAGAGGGAGAGAGAGAGAGCUGGGGAGAGGGAAGAGGAAAGAGAUGAAGAAAGAAGACAGAAGGAGAGGAAGGGACUUUUAACUUUAGUUUAAAAAAAAUUGAGUUCUUAAUUCCCUCCCGCCUCUCCCCCACCUAUGGAAAGGCAGAAAAUAUGAUAUCAGCCAUACAUAGAAAACCAUUAUUUUGUUUUUGCAAACACUUGCUCUGAGUGUUCAAUGAGAGAGACAGGCAGAAAGAGAGGGAGAGAGAGAUGGAGAGAGGGAAGAGCAAAGAGAUGAAGAAAAGGGACAUAGGGAGAGGAAGAGAUUUUUAGCUUUAGUUUUUUAAAAAAAUGAGUUCUUAAUUCCCUCCCGCCUCUCCCCCACCUAUGGAAAGGCAGGAAAUAUGCUAUCAGCCAUACAUGUAAAAUCAUAUCAUUAUUUUGUUUUUGCAAACACUUGCUCUGAUGUUCAAUGAGAGACAGAGAGAGAGGGAAGAGCAAAGAGAUGAAGAAAAAGGACAGAGAGAGAGGAAGAGAUUUUUAGCUUUAGUUUAAAAAAAAUUUGAGCUCUUAAUUCUCUCCCGCUUCUCCUCCACCUAUGGAAAGGCAGAAAAUAUGUCAGCCAUACAAAGGAAACCAUGCCAUUAUUUUGUUUUUGCAAACAUUUGCUCUGAGUGUUCAAUGAGAGAGACAGACAGAAAGAGAGGGAGAGAGGGAGAUGGAGAGAGGGAAGAGCAAGGAGAUGAAGAAAAGGGACAGAGGGAGAGGAAGGGACUUUAAACUUUCGUUUAAAAAAAAAUUGAGCUCUUAAUUCCUUCCCGCCUCUCCCCCACCUGUGGAUAAGGCAGAAAAUAUGAUAUCAGCCAUCCAUACGAAACCAUGCCAUUAUUUUGUUUUUGCAAACACUUGCUCUGAGUGUUGAGUCAGAGAGACAGACAGAAAGAGAAGGAGAGAGAGAUGGAGAGAGGGAAGAGCAAAGAGAUGAAGAAAAGGGACAUAGGGAGAGGAAGAGAUUUUUAGCUUUAGUUUUUUUAAAAAAUGAGUUCUUAAUUCCCUCCCGCCUCUCCCCCACCUAUGGAAAGGCAGGAAAUAUGCUAUCGGCCAUACAUGUAAAAUCAUAUCAUUAUUUUGUUUUUGCAAACACUUGCUCUGAUGUUCAAUGAGAGAGACAGGCAGAAAGAGAGGGAGAGAGAGAGAGAUGGGGAGAAGGAAGAGCAAAGAGAUGAAGAAAAGGGACAGAGGGAGAGGAAGGGACUUUUAGUUUUA
Molecule: long non-coding RNA, 1619 nt
Organism: Antechinus flavipes (yellow-footed antechinus)
Lineage: Eukaryota; Metazoa; Chordata; Mammalia; Dasyuromorphia; Dasyuridae
Exons: 2
Source: RefSeq, a predicted model, not a curated record